CCUACGGGCGGCAGCAGUGGGGAAUAUUGGACAAUGGGGGCAACCCUGAUCCAGCCAUGCCGCGUGUGUGAAGAAGGCCCUCGGGUUGUAAAGCACUUUCAGUGAGGAAGAACGCCUGGUGGUUAAUACCCAUCAGGAAAGACAUCACUCACAGAAGAAGCACCGGCUAACUCCGUGCCAGCAGCCGCGGUAAUACGGAGGGUGCGAGCGUUAAUCGGAAUUACUGGGCGUAAAGCGCGCGUAGGUGGCUUGAUAAGCCGGUUGUGAAAGCCCCGGGCUCAACCUGGGAACGGCAUCCGGAACUGUCAAGCUAGAGUGCAGGAGAGGAAGGUAGAAUUCCCGGUGUAGCGGUGAAAUGCGUAGAGAUCGGGAGGAAUACCAGUGGCGAAGGCGGCCUUCUGGACUGACACUGACACUGAGGUGCGAAAGCGUGGGUUGCAAACAGGAUUAGAUACCCGUGUAGUC
Molecule: ribosomal RNA, 465 nt
Filed under: Vreelandella stevensii
Lineage: Bacteria; Pseudomonadati; Pseudomonadota; Gammaproteobacteria; Oceanospirillales; Halomonadaceae
Description: partial 16S ribosomal RNA
Rfam family: Bacterial small subunit ribosomal RNA
Source: RNAcentral